This 268-nucleotide ribosomal RNA is filed under the name uncultured bacterium. RNAcentral's name for it is "partial 16S ribosomal RNA". It matches the Rfam family "Bacterial small subunit ribosomal RNA", at positions 85 to 354 of the family's 1533-position model. The record is from RNAcentral.
UUGCCGGCGACCGGCGGACGGGUGCGUAACGCGUAUGUAACCUACCUUUGACAGGGGGAUAACAUCGAGAAAUUGGUACUAAUACCCCAUAACAUCACCGGAGGCAUCUUCGGUGGUUGAAAACUCAGGUGGUCAGAGAUGGACAUGCGUUGUAUUAGCUAGUUGGUGAGGUAACGGCUCACCAAGGCGACGAUACAUAGGGGGACUGAGAGGUCAACCCCCCACAUUGGUACUGAGACACGGACCAAACUCCUACGGGAGGCAGCAG